CACGGCCCAGACUCCUACGGGAGGCAGCAGUAGGGAAUCUUCCGCAAUGGACGAAAGUCUGACGGAGCAACGCCGCGUGAGUGAUGAAGGUUUUCGGAUCGUAAAACUCUGUUGUUAGGGAAGAACAAGUAUCGUUCGAAUAGGGCGGUACCUUGACGGUACCUAACCAGAAAGCCACGGCUAACUACGUGCCAGCAGCCGCGGUAAUACGUAGGUGGCAAGCGUUGUCCGGAAUUAUUGGGCGUAAAGCGCGCGCAGGCGGUUUCUUAAGUCUGAUGUGAAAUCUUGCGGCUCAACCGCAAGCGGCCAUUGGAAACUGGGAGACUUGAGUGCAGAAGAGGAGAGUGGAAUUCCACGUGUAGCGGUGAAAUGCGUAGAGAUGUGGAGGAACACCAGUGGCGAAGGCGACUCUCUGGUCUGUAACUGACGCUGAGGCGCGAAAGCGUGGGGAGCGAACAGGAUUAGAUACCCUGGUAGUCCACGCCGUAAACGAUGAGUGCUAAGUGUUAGAGG
RNAcentral lists this ribosomal RNA (513 nucleotides) under Caryophanales bacterium. Its description in RNAcentral is "bacterial SSU rRNA". It matches the Rfam family "Bacterial small subunit ribosomal RNA", at positions 325 to 829 of the family's 1533-position model. The record is from RNAcentral. Lineage: Bacteria; Bacillati; Bacillota; Bacilli; Caryophanales.